AACAUGAUGUUCAAAAGAAAAACAAAAUUACAUUUUUGGAUUUAAAGUUAUUCCAUUACGAUUAUAAUCAGGGAUAAAUUCUGUCAUCUAUGAACAUGAGUUCACAAAACAUUGAUGAAAAGCUGUAUAAUUCCCUCAGUCCAAUAGUCUCCUAUCCUUUGGCAACAGAUGACGAUUCUAAUACAGAAUUCCUCCAAAACCCUGACCUAUUCCCAAUGCCACACCAUCAAACUUGUUCUUUGCUGUCUCAAGACAUGACAAGUUCUCCCUUUCCUAUGGAGCUUGAGGUUGAGGAAAUGAGUAUCCUCGGAAGCAAUAACAUUGAGUCCAGCAGUGUCCAAAGGAAGAACAAACAGGCACAAGAAACACAUGAUAAGGGCAAUAAUAAUAAAGAAAA
This is a long non-coding RNA of Gossypium arboreum, 397 nucleotides long. RefSeq lists it as uncharacterized. The record is from RefSeq and is a predicted model, not a curated record. The transcript is spliced from 3 exons. NCBI's taxonomy places the organism in Eukaryota, Viridiplantae, Streptophyta, Magnoliopsida, Malvales, Malvaceae.